RNAcentral lists this ribosomal RNA (429 nucleotides) under Pseudomonadota bacterium. Its description in RNAcentral is "Proteobacteria bacterium partial 16S ribosomal RNA". It matches the Rfam family "Bacterial small subunit ribosomal RNA", at positions 355 to 776 of the family's 1533-position model. Lineage: Bacteria; Pseudomonadati; Pseudomonadota. The record is from RNAcentral.
UGGGGAAUAUUGGACAAUGGGCGAAAGCCUGAUCCAGCCAUGCCGCGUGUGUGAAGAAGGUCUUCGGAUUGUAAAGCACUUUAAGUUGGGAGGAAGGGCAGUAAGCGAAUACCUUGCUGUUUUGACGUUACCGACAGAAUAAGCACCGGCUAACUCUGUGCCAGCAGCCGCGGUAAUACAGAGGGUGCAAGCGUUAAUCGGAAUUACUGGGCGUAAAGCGCGCGUAGGUGGUUCGUUAAGUUGAAUGUGAAAGCCCCGGGCUCAACCUGGGAACUGCAUCCAAAACUCGCGAGCUAGAGUAGGGCAGAGGGUGGUGGAAUUUCCUGUGUAGCGGUGAUAUGCGUAGAUAUAGGAAGAAACACCAGUGGCGAAGGCGACCACCUGGGCUCAUACUGACACUGAGGUGCGAAAGCGUGGGGAGCAAACAGG